UUGGAGGGCAAGUCUGGUGCCAGCAGCCGCGGUAAUUCCAGCUCCAAUAGCGUAUAUUAAAGUUGUUGCAGUUAAAAGCUCGUAGUUGAAUUUCGGGAUUGACACAUCGGUCGUGCCUUAAGGGGUAUGAACUGGUGUAGUCAGUUUCUCACCUUCUGGAGAACCGCGAUGUCCUUAAUUGGGUGCCGCGAGGAACCAGGACCUUUACUUUGAAAAAAUUAGAGUGUUUAAAGCAGGCAUUUUGCUUGAAUACAUUAGCAUGGAAUAAUAAAAUAGGACGGAUGGUCCUAUUUUGUUGGUUUCUAGGAUCACCGUAAUGAUUAAUAGGGAUAGUUGGGGGCAUUAGUAUUCAAUUGUCAGAGGUGAAAUUCUUGGAUUUAUUGAAGACUAACUACUGCGAAAGCAUUUGCCAAGGAUGUUUUCAUUAAUCAAGAACGAAAGUUAGGGGACCGAAGACGAUCAGAUACCGUCGUAGUCUUAACCAUAAACUAUGCCGACUAGGAAUCAGACGAUGUUAAUUUUUUAAUGACUCGUUUGGCACCUUACGGGAAACCAAAGUGUUUGGGUUC
RNAcentral lists this ribosomal RNA (569 nucleotides) under uncultured Glomeromycotina. RNAcentral's name for it is "SSU rRNA". It matches the Rfam family "Eukaryotic small subunit ribosomal RNA", at positions 548 to 1114 of the family's 1831-position model. The record is from RNAcentral. Lineage: Eukaryota; Fungi; Glomeromycota.